This 484-nucleotide ribosomal RNA is filed under the name uncultured bacterium. RNAcentral describes it as "partial 16S ribosomal RNA". It matches the Rfam family "Bacterial small subunit ribosomal RNA", at positions 30 to 507 of the family's 1533-position model. The record is from RNAcentral.
AUUGAACGCUGGCGGCAGGCCUAACACAUGCAAGUCGAGCGGAUGAAGGGAGCUCGCUCCUGGAUUCAGCGGCGGACGGGUGAGUAAUGCCUAGGAAUCUGCCUGGUAGUGGGGGAUAACGUCCGGAAACGGGCGCCAAUACCGCAUACGUCCUGAGGGAGAAAGUGGGGGAUCUUCGGACCUCACGCUAUCAGAUGAGCCUAGGUCGGAUUAGCUAGUUGGUGGGGUAAAGGCCUACCAAGGCGACGAUCCGUAACUGGUCUGAGAGGAUGAUCAGUCACACUGGAACUGAGACACGGUCCAGACUCCUACGGGAGGCAGCAGUGGGGAAUAUUGGACAAUGGGCGAAAGCCUGAUCCAGCCAUGCCGCGUGUGUGAAGAAGGUCUUCGGAUUGUAAAGCACUUUAAGUUGGGAGGAAGGGCAGUAAGUUAAUACCUUGCUGUUUUGACGUUACCAACAGAAUAAGCACCGGCUAACUUCGUG